GAUGAACGCUGGCGGCGUGCCUAAUACAUGCAAGUCGAACGCAUAGCGAAAGGUGCUUGCCCCUUUCACGUGAGUGGCGAACGGGUGAGUAACACGUGGACAACCUGCCUCAAGGCUGGGGAUAACAUUUGGAAACAGAUGCUAAUACCGAAUAAAACUUAGUGUCGCAUGACACAAAGUUAAAAGGCGCUUCGGCGUCACCUAGAGAUGGAUCCGCGGUGCAUUAGUUAGUUGGUGGGGUAAAGGCCUACCAAGACAAUGAUGCAUAGCCGAGUUGAGAGACUGAUCGGCCACAUUGGGACUGAGACACGGCCCAAACUCCUACGGGAGGCUGCAGUAGGGAAUCUUCCACAAUGGGCGAAAGCCUGAUGGAGCAACGCCGCGUGUGUGAUGAAGGCUUUCGGGUCGUAAAGCACUGUUGUAUGGGAAGAACAGCUAGAAUAGGAAAUGAUUUUAGUUUGACGGUACCAUACCAGAAAGGGACGGCUAAAUACGUG
RNAcentral lists this ribosomal RNA (497 nucleotides) under uncultured bacterium. RNAcentral describes it as "partial 16S ribosomal RNA". It matches the Rfam family "Bacterial small subunit ribosomal RNA", at positions 28 to 507 of the family's 1533-position model. The record is from RNAcentral.